RNAcentral lists this ribosomal RNA (461 nucleotides) under uncultured bacterium. RNAcentral's name for it is "bacterial SSU rRNA". It matches the Rfam family "Bacterial small subunit ribosomal RNA", at positions 29 to 506 of the family's 1533-position model. The record is from RNAcentral.
ACGAACGCUGGCGGCGUGCUUAACACAUGCAAGUCGAGCGGAAAGGCUCCUUCGGGGGUACUCGAGCGGCGAACGGGUGAGUAACACGUGAGUAAUCUGCCCUUGGCUUCGGGAUAGCCACCGGAAACGGUGAUUAAUACCGGAUAUGACCACUUCGUGCAUGCGUGGUGGUGGAAAGUUUUUCGGCCAGGGAUGUGCUCGCGGCCUAUCAGCUUGAUGGUGAGGUAAUGGCUCACCAUGGCUUCGACGGGUAGCCGGCCUGGGAGGGUGACCGGUCACACUGGGACUGAGACACGGCCCAGACUCCUACGGGAGGCAGCAGUGGGGAAUAUUGGACAAUGGGCGGAAGCCUGAUCCAGCAACGCCGCGUGAGGGAUGACGGCCUUCGGGUUGUAAACCUCUUUCGGUAGGGACGAAGCGCAAGUGACGGUACCUACUAAAGAAGCACCGGCCAACUACGU